GACGAACGCUGGCGGCGUGCUUAACACAUGCAAGUCGAGCGGAGCGGCGAAAGGGUGAGUAACGCGUGAGUAACUGCCCCCCUCUCUGGGAUAACAGAUGGAAACGGCUGCUAAUACCGGAUAGUGGGGGAUGGCUCGCGUCCUAUCAGCUUGUUGGUGGGGUAGUGGCCUACCAAGGCGACGACGGGUAGCCGGCCUGCGAUGGCGACCGGCACCAUUGGGCUGAGAUACGGCCCAAACGGAAUGGUGGGGCAGCGGGGGGGAAUAGUGCGCAAUGGGGGAAACCCGUAUGCAGAGACGCCGGGUGCGGGAUGACGGCCUUCGGGUUGUAAACCGCUUUCAGCCAGGACGCGGUAGUGGCAGAAGAAGCACCGGCUAACUACGUGCCAGCAGCCGCGGUAAUAC
Molecule: ribosomal RNA, 405 nt
Filed under: uncultured bacterium
Lineage: Bacteria
Description: partial 16S ribosomal RNA
Rfam family: Bacterial small subunit ribosomal RNA
Source: RNAcentral